Molecule: ribosomal RNA, 315 nt
Filed under: Danio erythromicron
Lineage: Eukaryota; Metazoa; Chordata; Actinopteri; Cypriniformes; Danionidae
Description: Microrasbora erythromicron partial 12S ribosomal RNA
Rfam family: Bacterial small subunit ribosomal RNA
Source: RNAcentral
UUCGCCCGGAUACUACAAGCAUAAGCUCGAAACCCAAAGGACCUGACGGUGCCUUAGACCCACCUAGAGGAGCCUGUUCUAGAACUGAUUAUCCCCGUUUAACCUCACCACUCCUAGUAAUAUCAGCCUAUAUACCACCGUCGCCAGCUUACCCUGUGAAGGUAAAACAGUAAGCAAGAUGGGUAUAACCCAAAAAGUCAGGUCGAGGUGUAGCAUAUGGAGUGGGAAGAAAUGGGCUACAUUUUCUAUCACAGAAUAUAACGAAUAUGUAUAUAUGAAAAAAUACUUGAAGGAGGAUUUAGUAGUAAAAGAGAA